Molecule: long non-coding RNA, 684 nt
Organism: Pseudoliparis swirei
Lineage: Eukaryota; Metazoa; Chordata; Actinopteri; Perciformes; Liparidae
Exons: 3
Source: RefSeq, a predicted model, not a curated record
CUGGGACCAAACAUUGAUUUGUGGAAAAAACAAUAUUGGCAACGCAAAACACAGAAUGAACCCCUGAUUAAGGCUGGCUGUGACUUUCCGCUGUUUGACCACUCUUGAGGUCACUGCUCCAAGGUGACCACCGGCUUGCCGAUGGAUGUCCACCCCUCCCUCGGAUCUUUUUCUUCUUUUUUUUCCGCUGGGAACUCCGCCACAUGUGCCGAACAUCUGCAUAAUUCUCCACGGUGCUAAGUUUGGCCAACACAAUGGCGGACUGGACCAAAUACCAGCGGCAUUCAUGGUGAAACGCUACACCGUGACCACGACGCCGGGUGACCGUGGGACUUUGCCCCAAGGUGCAAAACGCAGACGGGCAUCAAAGGGACGUACGACCCGUGACAAUGCAUGCGCGUGCACGAGAGGGCGCACUGUAUGUGCCUGCACCUGUGCAUUUGUGUCUUUUUAUGAGCUCAUGAGCAGCGGUGUUCUCCCCCACUCAAACCGGCCCCUUCCCCCCCCCUCCCCCGUUUGCCUCAUGAUCAAAGCCGCUGCCGUGCCACCGCUUCGUUUGAUACUCUUGCACAAUAGAGCCUGUUGAGGUUUUGAUUUCUUCAUCCAUUCAGCUCCAGAAAGGCCAGCCCUCCCCCUCCUCCAAUGGGCAGUGGGGGGAGGAGAGGGUGUGUGUGUGUGUGUGUG